Molecule: non-coding RNA, 1010 nt
Organism: Lolium perenne
Lineage: Eukaryota; Viridiplantae; Streptophyta; Magnoliopsida; Poales; Poaceae
Source: RefSeq, a predicted model, not a curated record
GAAAAAGGCGACAGAGGCGCUCAUGGCUCGUAUCCAUCAUCUUCAAAACACUCGAGGCAAAGAGCUAUCUGGUGUUCAAAUUACUGCCUACUUCCUUAGGAUUAGAGUGCAGCCUCUUCAGGCUCGCAAAAAUCCCCUUUGGACGUAUUCUGGUGAAAAUGACGCCAACAGAGUUUCCAGUGAUCUUUCUGUAAAGGACCUGGAAAAAUUGGUUCGAAGAAUUUCUCGAUUAGGCAAGAAGGAUCCUAUUCCCUCCUCCUGUCGAGUGGAACCAUACAGUGCUUCCAAUCCUCUUCCCGAGAAUCAUCCUACUAUGGCUUCCCUUCCUCCUCUUCCUGAGGAUGGAGAGGUCGAAGAAAGAGCCGUUGUCGAUGAUGACAACCAGGAGACCCCCUCUUUUGUUAAUGAACCCGCAGAUUCUCGAAAAUCUGCGGGAUCUACUGAGAAGGAUGCUGCCUCUGAAGGUACAACAUCAGCACAAUCUCCUCCUCCUGCUGUUUCUCCGAAGAGCAAAAGGAAAAGGAGCAAUGGCGAAGAUUCCGGGACCUCGAAACCCGAAGAAACUGCUCCUUUACCUCGAAAAGCAGCUUAUGAUCCAUACGUCGAGAGUAUCAUCAGCUCGUAGGUUCCUUGCUCUUUUCCUUUUCUAUUUGAAGAAUUUUAUUUUGCCUUGCUUUUUAUGCUGCCACUAUUUUGUCACAGUGAUGAUGAAGAAACACCAACUUUAGAUGUGGCUGCUCGAACGAGCACGUCACAUACUUUAGUUAUUUCAGAAAAACCAGUUGAAGGGGAGGAAUCGUCGCCUCCUCAACAAAAUGUUGAUACAUCUACUCCUCCUUCGAGCCCCCGUGCCCCUUCACCAAAAAGGGCACGGGUUGAAAAGAUUGUUGAUCCUGCCCCUCAGUUGGGCAGUUCGUCGACUCUGCUCUUAGAUGAUCCAAUGAUCAAAGAGCUUCUUCGGAUCGGGUCCCAAUUUGUUGGGUACCGUGAAUAUGCCGCCAGAGCCGAAG